RNAcentral lists this ribosomal RNA (431 nucleotides) under Stephanitis rhododendri. RNAcentral describes it as "partial 16S ribosomal RNA". The record is from RNAcentral. Lineage: Eukaryota; Metazoa; Arthropoda; Insecta; Hemiptera; Tingidae.
UUCUUUUUGGUUUUUUAAAAAGUAAAACCUGCUCAAUGAUUUUUUAAAUAGCCGCGUUAUAACCGUGCUAAGGUAGCAUAAUAAUUUGUCUUUUAAUUAAGGUCUAGAAUGAAUGGUUAAACGAAAGAUUAGCUUUUUUAAUUUAAUUAAAUAAAAUUUUAUAUUUUAGUUAAAAAGCUGAAAUAUUUUUAUAGGACGAUAAGACCCUAUAGAAUUUUAUUUAAAAAAAUUUAUUUUAUAUUUAUAAAUAAUAAUUAAAUAAUUUUUAUAAAUUUGGUUGGGGCGACUUUUAUAUUUUACAAACUAUAAUAUUUUAUAUUUUCAUUAAUUAGUGAAUUUUUGAUCCUUUUAUUAAGAUUAAUAGAAUAAAUUACCUUAGGGAUAACAGCGUAAUUUUCUUGGGGAGUUCUUAUUUAUAGGAAAGAUUGCGA